Pteropus alecto (black flying fox) is the source of this 119-nucleotide non-coding RNA. The record is from Rfam. Lineage: Eukaryota; Metazoa; Chordata; Mammalia; Chiroptera; Pteropodidae.
GUCUUCAGCCAUGCUACCCUGAACAAGCACGAUCCCGUCUGAUCUCGGAAGCUAAGCAGGUUCGGGCCUGGUUAGUACUUGGAUGGCAGACCACCUAGGAAGACCAGGUGCUGUAGGCA